GAUAAACGCUGGCGGCGCACAUAAGACAUGCAAGUCGAACGGAAGUCGUUGUAAUGAUGUUGACAUGAACAGAGAACUUGUUCGAAGGAAUUGAAGAUUGACUUACAACAAUGGCUUUAGUGGCGGACUGGUGAGUAACACGUAAGCAACCUGCCUGUUAGAGGGGAAUAACAACGAGAAAUCGUUGCUAAUACCGCAUAUGCCAUAAUCACCACAUGGUGAUAGUGGGAAAGGAGCAAUCCGCUAACAGAUGGGCUUGCGUCUGAUUAGUUAGUUGGUGGGGUAACGGCCUACCAAGACCACGAUCAGUAGCCGGACUGAGAGGUUCAACGGCCACAUUGGGACUGAGAUACGGCCCAG
This 360-nucleotide ribosomal RNA is filed under the name uncultured bacterium. RNAcentral describes it as "bacterial SSU rRNA". It matches the Rfam family "Bacterial small subunit ribosomal RNA", at positions 28 to 334 of the family's 1533-position model. The record is from RNAcentral.